RNAcentral lists this ribosomal RNA (402 nucleotides) under uncultured bacterium. Its description in RNAcentral is "partial 16S ribosomal RNA". It matches the Rfam family "Bacterial small subunit ribosomal RNA", at positions 355 to 774 of the family's 1533-position model. The record is from RNAcentral.
UGAGGAAUAUUUUGCAAUGAGCGCAAGCUUGACAAAGCAUUGUCUUGUGAAGGAAGACAGUUUUUAAAAAUUGUAAACUUCUUUACUUAUAAAGUGACUAUAGACACUUAAGUAUAAAAAAGUAUCGGCAAACUCCGUGCCAGCAGCCGCGGUAAUACGGGGGAUACAAGUGUUAUUCGAAAUAACUGGGCGUAAAGCGUAUGUAGAUGGAUGUAUAUAUGCUUUUUAUUAUAAAAAAAAUAUUAUUAAUAAUAAUUAUAUUAUACAUCUAGAGUGUAUUAAGAGUAAAAGGAAUUUUUUGAGGAGUAGUGAAAUGCAAUGAUACAAAAAAGAACACCAAUAGCGAAAGCAUUUUACUAUAUUAUAACUGACAUUGAGAUACGAAAGUUAAGGAAGCAAAUG